GCGCAGCAGGCGAGAAACCUCCGCAAUACACGAAAGUGUGACGGGGCCAUCCCGAGUGCCGUCCGCUGAGGACGGCUUUUCCCCAGUGUACACAGCUGGGGGAAUAAGGAGAGGGCAAGCCUGGUGUCAGCCGCCGCGGUAAUACCGAGCUCUCCGGAGUGGUGGGGACGCUUAUUGGGCCUAAAGCAUCCGGUAGCCGGCUGGGCAAGUCCUCCGUUAAAUCCAACGAUUCAAUCGUUGGGCUGCGGGGGAUAC
This 255-nucleotide ribosomal RNA is filed under the name uncultured microorganism. Its description in RNAcentral is "partial 16S ribosomal RNA". It matches the Rfam family "Archaeal small subunit ribosomal RNA", at positions 330 to 584 of the family's 1478-position model. The record is from RNAcentral.